AGCAACUGGGGUGCCAUUGCGGCUGAGAUAAUACCCAUUGAACCUGAAUCUGGACAAUGCCAGCGCAGGGAGCAA
This 75-nucleotide non-coding RNA is filed under the name Lactiplantibacillus pentosus. The record is from RNAcentral. Lineage: Bacteria; Bacillati; Bacillota; Bacilli; Lactobacillales; Lactobacillaceae.